This 496-nucleotide ribosomal RNA is filed under the name uncultured bacterium. RNAcentral describes it as "partial 16S ribosomal RNA". It matches the Rfam family "Bacterial small subunit ribosomal RNA", at positions 28 to 506 of the family's 1533-position model. The record is from RNAcentral.
GAUGAACGCUGGCGGCGUGCCUAAUACAUGCAAGUCGAGCGAACAGACGAGGAGCUUGCUCCUCUGACGUUAGCGGCGGACGGGUGAGUAACACGUGGAUAACCUACCUAUAAGACUGGGAUAACUUCGGGAAACCGGAGCUAAUACCGGAUAAUAUAUUGAACCGCAUGGUUCAAUAGUGAAAGACGGUUUUGCUGUCACUUAUAGAUGGAUCCGCGCCGCAUUAGCUAGUUGGUAAGGUAACGGCUUACCAAGGCAACGAUGCGUAGCCGACCUGAGAGGGUGAUCGGCCACACUGGAACUGAGACACGGUCCAGACUCCUACGGGAGGCAGCAGUAGGGAAUCUUCCGCAAUGGGCGAAAGCCUGACGGCGCAACGCCGCGUGAGUGAUGAAGGUCUUCGGAUCGUAAAACUCUGUUAUUAGGGAAGAACAAAUGUGUAAGUAACUAUGCACGUCUUGACGGUACCUAAUCAGAAAGCCACGGCUAACUACGU